RNAcentral lists this non-coding RNA (451 nucleotides) under Oryzias latipes (Japanese medaka). Its description in RNAcentral is "Eukaryotic large subunit ribosomal RNA". It matches the Rfam family "Eukaryotic large subunit ribosomal RNA", at positions 1457 to 1888 of the family's 3401-position model. Lineage: Eukaryota; Metazoa; Chordata; Actinopteri; Beloniformes; Adrianichthyidae. The record is from Rfam by way of RNAcentral.
GUAGUAGCAAACAUUCAAACUUGAACUUUGAAGGCCAAAGAGGAGAAGGGUUCCAUGUGAACAGCAGUUGAAAAUGGGUCAAUCUGUCCUAGGGGAUGGUCGAAUGUCAUUUUGAAUCACAGGGCGAUGGUCUCUGUUACCCGUGGCCUGAUCAAAAGAAUCUGGUAUAGAUCCCUGAACCUGCAGUGGCUGAGACAGGCGCUGCAAGGCGUCCAGUGGUGCAAACAGACCUGGAGAAGCCGAUGGGAGCCCCGGGGAGAGUUCUCUUUUCUUUGUAAAGGGCAGGUCACCGUGGAAUGGGUUUGCUCCAAGAGAGGGAUCCAUGCCCUGAAAGGGGUGCUGUUCUGGCGGCAUCUAUCUAGCCCUUAAAAAUCCGGGGUAGAGGGUGUAAGUCUCGUGCCAGGCUGUACCCAUAUCCGCAGCAGGUCUCCAAGAUGAACAGCCUCUGGCA